RNAcentral lists this long non-coding RNA (1856 nucleotides) under Eutrema salsugineum. RNAcentral's name for it is "long non-coding RNA (ESAL_LNC002154)". Lineage: Eukaryota; Viridiplantae; Streptophyta; Magnoliopsida; Brassicales; Brassicaceae. The record is from RNAcentral.
AUAUAAUCAUUAUUUGAGAUGUGUAUUAGUAUGUUAUUAUAAAUAAUUUUAAAAAUUUUAUCCAAAAGAAUUAAAAAUCAAUUUAAAAUAUAAUAUCUUAAAAAAGUUAAGAAUUAUAUAAAAUUACAAUAAAUAUCAAUUAUUAUCAAUCAAUUAAUGAAAAAACUGUUCAUAUUCUUUGAGUGUUUUAAAACUUGAUAUUAAAUUUUUUUUUUUAAUAAAUGAUAACUUUAAAUUAUAAAAAUGACACAUGUCAUCUCCAUAUCAAUUUAAAAUGAUGAUGUGUCACUCAUAUGGAGAGAAUUGAUCAUCUUUUAUAUAUAAGAUAUUUCAAUGGCAUGAUGUUUGUAAAAUCAGUAUGAUUAAAACUAUUCGUUUUAUAUUCUGUUACUGAUAUAACAUUUAUUUGACAGAAAGGUUAUAUUACGGGUAACUUUUGAAGUAGAGAAUUGACUUGCAGUUUUCAAAGGUGAUGGUCAAUUUUAAAAAUAAAAAAUAAAGAUGAAUGUUUUUUUGCAUUAAAUCCUUAUAUUAAAUAUAAAACAAGUUUACCAUAAACAUAAAAUAAGUUUAUCUUACGUAAAAAAAAAAGUUUACCACAUUUACUUCUACACUUUUGUGCACUCAUACCUUCUGUCAAUAUCCAAUUGGUUCGUUAAGAACUGAUGAACCAGGUGUGCACUCUAGGUAUAGCUUCUCACUGCAAGCUUUAGUACAGAUGUGUUCAUAACAUCAAUGAAGACCUUGUCGCCUAAUGUCUCCCUCAGUUUUGAGAAAUCAGUUAAGUGGCAGUCAUAAUUCAAACUAUGAUAUUGCAAGGAACACUUAAAUGGCAGAUACAAUUCUCGAAGGAUAGUCCUUCGAGUCGCUAGAUGUAGCCAUCUUUCUAAACCUGUAACAUAUAAUAUGUGAGCAUUAUAUUAGGUACCAUAAUCACGAAACAAGUCUAACUACAGAAGAAAACAAUUCUACCUAAGUAAGAAAUCAAGUAUACCACAUACACUUCUAUACCAAAACUACAUAACAAGUCUACCACACAUGUAAGCAAAAAAUACAAAAAAUACCAAUAAGUAUACCAAAAGUAAAAAACAAGUCUACCACAUAUACUCCAACUAACACUUACUUAAUCAAGUUUACCAUAUCAAACAUCAAAUCUACCACAUGAUGAAGAUUAAAAGUCAGCAAAAUUUGUAUAUAUUUACGCAAAGCUCACCGAAAAUUUCUUGAGUUUUGCCGGAACUUCUAUCUAUUGACCGGAAUCAACAAUUUAGAAAGAUUCCUGCAACAAAAAAAAAAUUAUGGUUUACUUCUUUCGCAAAAAAAUAGUUAUUUUCAGCCGCCACGGCCACUAUUGCUCCAUGGCAAGGCCAAUCGAUAAAGGAAGUUUCGUCGCCUCUCAGACCCUUUGUGUCACCUGUUAGAUCCUUUGCGGCAGUUUUGUCCACUUUGCAUCGCCCCUCGCGACCAAAACUCGCGGAAGCAAAAUAAAAGAAAAGAAGAAACUAGUGAAAUUUACUAGAAUCUGUUCGAACAAUGGUCGAAUGUGGUUUUGAAGGAGUAAAUUCGAAGGGUUUCUUACCCGGAAUCAAUGGUCGUCGAGGACAAAAACAGAGUCGAUGAAGUCGCCGGAGUUGCCAUAAACCUCGCCGGAGAGGAUGAGAACUCUCGAAAUCGCAUUUUUUUUUGUCGUCGCCUCCUUUGUUGGGAUAUUAGGAUUAGGUUUAGGAAAAGUUUAGGAAAAGUUUUUUUUUCUAUUUUCUUUAAUAUUUUGAUUUUACUUUUCUCAUUUUUAUAAAAAUUAAUAAUAUUUUGAUUUUUCAAAAUUUUAGGAAAUAAAUUAAAUCAAUGGCAUUUUA